This 917-nucleotide ribosomal RNA is filed under the name uncultured bacterium. Its description in RNAcentral is "bacterial SSU rRNA". It matches the Rfam family "Bacterial small subunit ribosomal RNA", at positions 33 to 932 of the family's 1533-position model. The record is from RNAcentral.
ACGCUGGCGGCGUGCCUAAUACAUGCAAGUAGAACGCUGAAGAGAGGAGCUUGCUCUUCUUGGAUGAGUUGCGAACGGGUGAGUAACGCGUAGGUAACCUGCCUUGUAGCGGGGGAUAACUAUUGGAAACGAUAGCUAAUACCGCAUAACAAUGGAUGACACAUGUCAUUUAUUUGAAAGGGGCAAUUGCUCCACUACAAGAUGGACCUGCGUUGUAUUAGCCAGUAGGUGAGGUAACGGCUCACCUAGGCGACGAUACAUAGCCGACCUGAGAGGGUGAUCGGCCACACUGGGACUGAGACACGGCCCAGACUCCUACGGGAGGCAGCAGUAGGGAAUCUUCGGCAAUGGGGGCAACCCUGAUCGAGCUACGCCGCGUGAGUGAAGAAGGUUUUCGGAUCGUAAAGCUCUGUUGUAAGUCAAGAACGAGUGUGAGAGUGGAAAGUUCACACUGUGACGGUAGCUUACCAGAAAGGGACGGCUAACUACGUGCCAGCAGCCGCGGUAAUACGUAGGUCCCGAGCGUUGUCCGGAUUUAUUGGGCGUAAAGCGAGCGCAGGCGGUUUGAUAAGUCUGAAGUUAAAGGCUGUGGCUCAACCAUAGUUCGCUUUGGAAACUGUCAAACUUGAGUGCAGAAGGGGAGAGUGGAAUUCCAUGUGUAGCGGUGAAAUGCGUAGAUAUAUGGAGGAACACCGGUGGCGAAAGCGGCUCUCUGGUCUGUAACUGACGCUGAGGCUCGAAAGCGUGGGGAGCGAACAGGAUUAGAUACCCUGGUAGUCCACGCCGUAAACGAUGAGUGCUAGGUGUUGGAUCCUUUCCGGGAUUCAGUGCCGCAGCUAACGCAUUAAGCACUCCGCCUGGGGAGUACGACCGCAAGGUUGAAACUCAAAGGAAUUGACGGGGGCCCGCACAAGCGG